This 1063-nucleotide ribosomal RNA is filed under the name Salmonella enterica subsp. enterica serovar Typhimurium. RNAcentral's name for it is "partial 23S ribosomal RNA". It matches the Rfam family "Bacterial large subunit ribosomal RNA", at positions 608 to 1588 of the family's 2925-position model. The record is from RNAcentral. Lineage: Bacteria; Pseudomonadati; Pseudomonadota; Gammaproteobacteria; Enterobacterales; Enterobacteriaceae.
UUGUAUAAUGGGUCAGCGACUUAUAUUCUGUAGCAAGGUUAACCGUAUAGGGGAGCCGGAGGGAAACCGAGUCUUAAUUGGGCGUUAAGUUGCAGGGUAUAGACCCGAAACCCGGUGAUCUAGCCAUGGGCAGGUUGAAGGUUGGGUAACACUAACUGGAGGACCGAACCGACUAAUGUUGAAAAAUUAGCGGAUGACCUGUGGCUGGGGGUGAAAGGCCAAUCAAACCGGGAGAUAGCUGGUUCUCCCCGAAAGCUAUUUAGGUAGCGCCUCGUGAAUUCAUCUCCGGGGGUAGAGCACUGUUUCGGCUAGGGGGCCAUCCCGGCUUACCAACCCGAUGCAAACUGCGAAUACCGGAGAAUGUUAUCACGGGAGACACACGGCGGGUGCUAACGUCCGUCGUGAAGAGGGAAACAACCCAGACCGCCAGCUAAGGUCCCAAAGUCAUGGUUAAGUGGGAAACGAUGUGGGAAGGCCCAGACAGCCAGGAUGUUGGCUUAGAAGCAGCCAUCAUUUAAAGAAAGCGUAAUAGCUCACUGGUCGAGUCGGCCUGCGCGGAAGAUGUAACGGGGCUAAACCAUGCACCGAAGCUGCGGCAGCGAACGUAUCACCCAAGACAACUUUACGGAGUUGACGAUUGACGGAGCGAAGCGACGUCAAAGCGUUCAUUAAAGUCGAGUUGGCUUAGGGAUACGUUCGUUGGGUAGGGGAGCGUUCUGUAAGCCUGUGAAGGUGUGUCGUGAGGCAUGCUGGAGGUAUCAGAAGUGCGAAUGCUGACAUAAGUAACGAUAAAGCGGGUGAAAAGCCCGCUCGCCGGAAGACCAAGGGUUCCUGUCCAACGUUAAUCGGGGCAGGGUGAGUCGACCCCUAAGGCGAGGCCGAAAGGCGUAGUCGAUGGGAAACGGGUUAAUAUUCCCGUACUUGGUGUUACUGCGAAGGGGGGACGGAGAAGGCUAUGUUGGCCGGGCGACGGUUGUCCCGGUUUAAGCGUGUAGGUGUGUGUUCCAGGUAAAUCCGGUUCACUUUAACACUGAGGCGUGACGACGAGGCACUACGGUGCUGA